RNAcentral lists this transfer RNA (66 nucleotides) under Tragulus kanchil. Its description in RNAcentral is "tRNA-Lys". It matches the Rfam family "tRNA". From Rfam's summary of the family: Transfer RNA (tRNA) molecules are approximately 80 nucleotides in length. Their secondary structure includes four short double-helical elements and three loops (D, anti-codon, and T loops). Lineage: Eukaryota; Metazoa; Chordata; Mammalia; Artiodactyla; Tragulidae. The record is from RNAcentral.
CGCUAAGAAGCUAAACAGCGCUAGCCUUUUAAGCUAGAGAUUGGGAAAUCACCUUCCCCUAAGCGA